CCUACGGGGGGCUGCAGUGGGGAAUAUUGGACAAUGGGGGGAACCCUGAUCCAGCCAUGCCGCGUGUGUGAAGAAGGCCCUCGGGUUGUAAAGCACUUUCAGUGAGGAAGAACGCCUGGUGGUUAAUACCCAUCAGGAAAGACAUCACUCACAGAAGAAGCACCGGCUAACUCCGUGCCAGCAGCCGCGGUAAUACGGAGGGUGCGAGCGUUAAUCGGAAUUACUGGGCGUAAAGCGCGCGUAGGUGGCCUGAUAAGCCGGUUGUGAAAGCCCCGGGCUCAACCUGGGAACGGCAUCCGGAACUGUCAAGCUAGAGUGCAGGAGAGGAAGGUAGAAUUCCCGGUGUAGCGGUGAAAUGCGUAGAGAUCGGGAGGAAUACCAGUGGCGAAGGCGGCCUUCUGGACUGACACUGACACUGAGGUGCGAAAGCGUGGGUAGCAAACAGGAUUAGAUACCCCUGUAGUC
This 465-nucleotide ribosomal RNA is filed under the name Vreelandella stevensii. Its description in RNAcentral is "partial 16S ribosomal RNA". It matches the Rfam family "Bacterial small subunit ribosomal RNA", at positions 338 to 795 of the family's 1533-position model. Lineage: Bacteria; Pseudomonadati; Pseudomonadota; Gammaproteobacteria; Oceanospirillales; Halomonadaceae. The record is from RNAcentral.